This 189-nucleotide non-coding RNA is filed under the name Deltaproteobacteria bacterium. Lineage: Bacteria; Pseudomonadati; Myxococcota; Myxococcia. The record is from RNAcentral.
AGCAGUGCGAUAACUUCAGGUGCUCGCUGUUGGAGCAUAAAAGAGAACCCCGUGCGAAUCGGGGGCGGGCCCGCCGCUGUAACCGGGGACGAACGUCGCAUCAGGUCACUGUCUUGUUAUGAGGACGGGAAGACGCGGCAAGUAGGCUGAGCCGGAAGCCAGAAAACCUGCCUGAAGGAUAUAUGAUGG